RNAcentral lists this long non-coding RNA (209 nucleotides) under Elaeis guineensis (African oil palm). RNAcentral's name for it is "long non-coding RNA (EGUI_LNC062918)". The record is from RNAcentral. Lineage: Eukaryota; Viridiplantae; Streptophyta; Magnoliopsida; Arecales; Arecaceae.
AGGGUUUGAUGCGGCUCGAUUUAGAUCCGAGCCAACUCGACAGCUGUGUUAUCCACUGGUGCCAAAAACACAACUCUUUGUCUGCUGUCUGAGUCAGCUCUCUCAGAGCUCGAGCCGACUCGACUACUGACUGAUGCUUCUAUUGCUUCCUUCACAUCUUGUCCUUUUCUCAUCAAUUUUUAAAGCUUGGAAGCACCAUACCUAAGCUC